RNA transcript from Durio zibethinus, 1487 nucleotides. RefSeq lists it as uncharacterized. The record is from RefSeq and is a predicted model, not a curated record. NCBI's taxonomy places the organism in Eukaryota, Viridiplantae, Streptophyta, Magnoliopsida, Malvales, Malvaceae.
AAAAACUCUUUCCGGGAAAUUUCUUGGGAGCAAAGAGUUAGAAAGUAACGGAAAAUUAAAAAAUUUUCUGUCUAAAAGGGUAAUUUUAAGUAAAAAUGCAUUCGCUGAACCUUAAGGUUUUGACUGAUUUGAAUGCUGGAAAUGGGAGGAACUGCUUUCCGGGCAAGCUGGUUAUGGAUUGGCGACGGAUCUAGACUUUGGGAGGAGGAGAAGGGAUGGGUGGGGUUGUUGGUAUGGUGGCGCUGCUGGUGGUCGGGAGUGUAGGAUAGUGGCGUGUGCGGUGGAGAGGAUCGGGAAUGGCGGGAAUGGUGGUGGAGGGGAGAGUCCGAGUUUGAAUCCUAGUCCAACUCAGAGCCAAACUUAUGCAAUGUUGAAACAACAAAUGGACAUUGCUGCUAAAUCUGAGGAUUAUAAAGAAGCAGCGAUAAUACAUGAUUCUUUGAAAAUGUUUGAGGAAGAGGAGCCUGUUUUGCUUAGGAGGUUGAUUAAAGAGGCUGUUGCUAAUGAAAGAUUUGAGGAUGCAGCUAGAUAUCGUGAUGAGUUGAAGGAAAUUGCACCUCAUUCUCUCCUGAAGUGUUCAAGUGAUGCAACAACCUUGGGAAUCAGAGUUCAGGUUAUGAGUGUGUACAUAGAGGGGUGUAAUAUGCCUUCAAGGGGACUGUACUUUUUUGCAUAUAGAAUAAGAAUAAGCAAUAACUCAGAUAAUCCUGUUCAGCUUCUCAGAAGGCAUUGAUUUAUCACAGAUGGCAAUGGGAAAACUGAAAAUGUUUGGGUUACUGGAGUUAUGGGCGAACGGCCAGUUAUUCUUCCCAGAACAGGUUUCGAAUACUCAUCUGCUUGCCCAUUAAGUACAUCCAGUGGCAGAAUGGAAGGAGACUUUAAGAUGAAACACAUUGACAGAGUAGGCUCACCGAGUUUCAAGUUAGCCAUCGCCCCAUUUUCUCUCUCCACCCUGGGGGAUGAUGUUGAUAUCUUCUGAAAUCUGAAACGAAAUUGUCACCUUGGAGAAGCACAGUAUCCUUGUCAAUAAAUAGAAUCAGGUUAUUUUUACAAUUGAAGCUUGGCUUUGUAAAGCAUGUUCUUUUGUGAUCCAAAUGUACAGAUCUUCCAAUGUAAGAGCAUAUAUAUAAAUAUAUAUUUCUGUUAAUAUUAUAGUCCAUUGUGUUUUUUGAGACAAACUAAUGAAAUAUGUAUUUAAGCAAACUUUAAAUAACAUAGAUUUUGAUAGGGGAUUAGACAUGAAUGCUUUACGUAUAAAAAUUUCCCUUUUGAAUGAAUGAAAAUCCCUAUGGCGUGAGUUGGGUUCCUCCAUGCAUUGCCUAGCUUGCUUGCAUAUAUUUUGAGGAACUUAGUUGUUAACUGUUGCUAUUAUUUUCUGGAGAUUUAAUUACAGGUUAAGUAAAUUCCAAAUAUGCAUGUACUGAAGUAAAAGAUUUCAUGAUCUUUCAAUGAAUUCCUGUUAACAAAAUGUUGUUGCAGGUUCCUAG